CCCAGCGUGCCCCGCGCCUUUCCCGGCGUGCCCCGCGCCUUUCCCGGCGUGCCCCGCGCCUUUCCCGGCGUGCCCCGCGCCUUUCCCGGCGUGCCCUGCGGCCGCCCCCCCAGCUGCUCUCCCAGAAGCCUCCGGGCGCCCCUCCUCCUCCUGCAGCUUCCCCCAAGACUUGGAUGCUCAGGCGGGAGCUGUCCAGCCCCUGCAUCAGGAAGAGGGCUUGCUUGCGUGUGGUAACCACCUUCCUUAACGUUCAGCCCCACCGGGCCUUUCUGGAGCCUUUCAAGCCCAUGGAUCUCCUAGGAUAAUUUCAGCCUGACUUUGGAGUACAAGACGGAGAGAAGACAAGACGUAUUACUCAGAACAGGUUUGGUGUGGAGAUUACUGAUGAAGAGUUUGACUUACUACUUGACAGAAUCCCCCUUGAUGAAGAUGGAAAUGUCAGAGGCCCCGGUUCGUGGCCACGUUGGACACUUGGCACUCCUUUUCCACAUUUUCUCAUUUCUUAGUCAUUUUUUAUUCUUGUUUUUAAUACAGAGAAUGUACCCCUGAAAGUACUAGGCUUAUUUAAAUUUUCUCUUUAUUGCCUGGUAUCUCACUUACUAAUAUUUUAUAAACGACAAAGGAUUUUUGAAAAAGCGUUGUUAACAAAAAGCUAGGAUUUUUGAAUGAUGAACUACGGCAAUGCAUUUGAAAACAUUUAAUGUCUCAGUACCUAAGCAGUGGACGUGGGAGGAUAAUGUGUGACUGAGGUGACAAACGAGGCAUGUAAACUGCGUUUGCAGAGUUGGGAAGAAAAUUGCAGUAAGUGGCAAACGUCAAAUCCUGAAGAUGACUGGUGUUCAGUCCCCAGCCGCACUAAACACUCCCCGCACACUGACCUUUUACCCCUGGAUCGCCUCCCAGGGGACUCCCAUUAACAAGACUUCUUGCUGCCUUCUUCCCAGAGGAUUCUGCCUGGACGGUAGAGGACACCCGUUGCCAAUGAUUGUCUUAAAGGCGGAGCAAGAAUGCUUUCUGAAAUAUUCUCACUUUGUAUUUCUCUAUCAGGGACCACAGUUAUUACUCUUUUCUAAAAUCUUUUCGUGGAUUCUAUAGGGUAGUUCAAGGCUAAAGUAAUUGAAAUUCUGAUCAGUAUUGAGCAUUUGAUUCCUUAAGUACUUUAAGGCAUGUUGCAGUCCCGGGCAUCAUGAUUUUGGCUGAAACCAUUGAAAGACGGGUUGCUUCUUCCUAAAGAUACUUCUUUUUUCCAGGGCAGUUUCAGAAUAUGACUGUCUUCAUCCAACACGCCUCCUGGACCAUCCUCCAAAUCUCAUGACUAUCUCUUUAGCCAUGAAACCCACCCAAAUUUUCUGUUAGUUCUUGCUAGCAGGGUGGAAGUUACCAACCUGGUUUGACUUGAAGGGCAUGAAAAGAGCAUGCUCCAAGCCAGAGAAUGCCCUCAGAGUCUCGGGGGCUGACAGCAGGAGGCCCUCAAAGUGAAAAAGAACCAGGAGUGGUGAGGAGGUACCAGCAGGCCUUACCUAAAGGUAGCUGUCCCACCAAGAAUACCACAUCCAAGAACAGGAUUCUAUUUCCAAAGUGUGUGUGUGGACUUGAGAAGCAGCCUUUGGAAGAUGGGGCUGCCCAGACUUUCUAGAGCCUACUUUAAUUCCUCGGAGAUCUGCAGUCUCCAGGUUGUCGGUCAUCAGGACCGUGGCUGUUGAAGAGAAUUCACAUCCUCAGCAAGCUAGCACUAACGGGAACCAUAGAGGUCAUACUGUCCAUCUUCUUUCCAGAACAGGGAAGAAAUUUGAGACUCAAGAAAGGUGAGGUUUCUCAGGAAGACUAGUUUCAGGAAUUAAUUUUUUAAAGGUACAGUGUUUUCAUUCACUGAUAAACUGAAAGCCAGUUUCUAGAUAUUUCUUUGUCACACAUGCUCGAUUUGACCUGGGAAAAAAUCUUUACCUGGUCCUCAGACUCAUCUGUCUUCACCGUGACUGAUGGGGACGCAGUGAGGUCCCUGAGGCUCCCUGCAGAAUGCAGCCACUCGAGGCCAAUCAAGAAGAUUGUUCUCCCUAAGGCAUUUCUUGGUGAGGUAUUUUAAGGACCCUUUAGAAAAUUGUUUCUCAGAAACAACUAUGAUUUUAUUUUUGAAAUAUUCAAUAUUAACAACAUCUGUGAGAUUUUCAGUUUUUUCCAUUGAUUUUAACCUUAUAGAAACUGUUCAAAAUUUCCAGAAUCCAAAGUUCCAUCUUUUAUUGAAUGAGUAAGGUCCACAUUAAACUUCCAUGUUAAUCAUGUAAGCUUCUUGUCCUUCUUCAGCAGCAUCUUGAGAGCUGGCCCUAUGAUGUGAGAGCAGGAAGUAGUGUUUGUGUGAAUCUAAGGACUUUUGUUAGAUCUCUAAGCCUAAAAUCGGCAAUACAUCUGCAGUAGGGCCCAAACUACCAAUCCACACUGUAUUCCACCAGUGAACUCACCUAUGCUUUCAGCAAUUCCUCAUUGAAGAUACUGGCAUACAUAUUAUCUGCCCUGUACUACCACCAGCAAACCAUAAUCAUAGGUCUCACAGUCCUCACAUUUAGGCUGGAGAUGGUGGUUUAUGCCUAUAAUCCCAGCGCUUUGGGAGGCUGAGGCAGGAGAAUCACUUGAGGUCAACAGAGCUGAAGAAAAGCCUGGGGAAUAUAGGGAGACGCUAUCUCCACAAAAAUAAAGUAAAACAAAACAACCAGGUAUGGCGGCACAUGCCAGUAGUCCCAGCUACUCAGGAAGCCGUGGGAGGAUCACCUGAGCCCAGGAGGUUGAGGCUGCAGUGAGCUGCGGUCACACCUCUGCACUAUAGCUCAGGUGACAGAGCAGGGUCCUACCUAAAAUAAGAUAAUAAUAAUUUAAAAAUCCACAUUUUUCUCACACAAAAAAUUAUUGCCCAUUUAUCUGCACACAGAACUAAGAUAGCUAUGGUAUUGUAUUCAUUAACACUUGAGAGGCAUAGCACGCAGGUCUUGGUGAGUCUAAGUCCAGGUGGUACUAAUUUAGAGAAAGACAGAGAAGCUAGAUCAUACAUUCAUCUCACAUAUGGUCAACAAUUGCCAUAAGGAUUUUAGGAAACUGCAGAGUCUGAGAAUUCUGAGAAGUUUCUUCUGAUUAGAUUGGCAUUUUAGGAACUGCUUGAUGGACUUAGCUUCCACUUUACAAUAAUUCUCUAGUAUAAAUUCUAUUUCGGAUGUGAACAUUUGAUAUGUGUGUGUGUUUGGCUUUUGCUGCAUUGCUAGGGAGCAGUCCUUAAGUUUAGUUCUACGAAUCUGAUUACUGAGAUGGUUUCCAGCAUAGGAGGUAUAGUUGUUAACCGUGGCUGCUGAGUGUGAUUGGACCUCUCUGCUGAGGCCUCACAGACAUCUUGCUGUAGAACCUCACUUCUGGCUGGGUGUGGUGGUUCAAGCCUGUAAUCCGAGCACUUUGGGAGGCCGAGGCAGGUGGAUUACCUGAGGUCAGGAGUUUGAGACCAGCCUGAUCAACAUGGUGAAACCCCGUCUCUUCUAAAUACAAAAAAUUAGUCAAACAUGGAGGUGCGUGCCUGUAAUCCAAGAUACUUGGGAGGCUGGAAGGCUGAGGCAGGAGAAUCAAUUGAACCCAGAAGGUGGAGGUUGCAGUGAGUAGAGAUUGUACCAGCCUGGGCAACAAAAGGGAAAACUCCAUGUCAAUAAAAAAAAAAAAAAAAAAAAAAGAACUUCACUUCCUUGCUCUCUUCUCUCUGCUCAUUCUUCAGAGAAAGGAUUCCAUUGUAUUCUUUUUCUGUUAGACCUUGUGUCACUUCGGAUGAGGUUUUGUGUGAGUAAAAGAAACUUGGCUCCUAUGUCUUAACCGGGACAGAAGCAUGCUUUUCUGGUCCAUAAGAGAAGAAUGGAGGCAGCAGCCGCUGGUGAUGUGGCAGCUCCAGGGUUGCCCAGACUCUCUACCUUCCAAAGCUGUUUCCUGCCUUCGUGGUCACAUCGUGGUUCUCACAGCUGCUGUGGCCUGAAGACGGGGAAAAGGCGAAAGGGUGGAAAGGGGUUCCUUCUAGCUGAGUCGAUUCCCUUUAAGCAUGAUUCGCAGGGCACUUGCAAACACUUCUGCUUUUAUCUUAUGGGCAGAAUUUAGUCAGGGGGAUAAACCUAGCUGCAAAGAUGGCUGGGAAAUGUAGUCUUUAUUCUGAGUAGCUUUUCUGCCCAGCUAAGAAGGGGGGGAAAGACAAAAGGUGGAUGUUGUGGCUUCUGCCAGAUCGCUUAGGUGGAAUAUUCUAUCUGUAUCCACGAAGCCUUAACGCCUCAUAACUAGCAACCAGUAUUUUAUAGGAAGAGCAUGUAUGGCUAUGUGAUCGAUGCAAUUAGCACGGUCAGCCGUCAUUUGGACAUCCUCAGAGAAGCUCCGAGAUCGUUCUUGUGUCAUAGAAGCAUAUCCAUACCAAUGGUUUAUUCUAUACUUGAAUGUUUUCAACUGUAAGAAUUCAUAUAAAGCAAAUUUAAACUAAAAUCACAAAAAUACGCCCACUGUAUGUGUUUAACAAAGUCUUCAGGGAGUAUUAUAGACUGAAGUAAAACCAUGAGAAAUCUAAAACACAGUAAAACGCUAUAAAAUAAUUAAUGGCUUUUAAUGAAAGAAUUAAUUAAAGUAUGAUUGAUUAAUACAACCCCCCAAAUAAGCUUCUUGUUGAUUUUCAGGGAGGCUGAGGAACUCUAGCACCAACAUAUAUUCUGCAUCCUACAUCUUUGAGUAGGUUUAUUAAUCAUAGAUCUUUGAAGAUAACUUUUCUUUAUGUUUUGUGCUACCAUUUAUCAGUUGUGUAAUUUUACAAGGAGGUUUAUUGAAGUAUAAUUUACAUAUAAAAUUUACCCAUUGUAAGUGAUUUUGGCAAAUCUGUUGAGUUAUGGAACCAGCUCCAUAAUCCAGUUUAGAACAUUUCCGUUUGCUUCUGCUUCUGUGAAUUUGUUUUUGCUAGAUAUUUCUUAUAAAUGAAAUCAAUCAUGCAGUUCAUAUUCUGUGUCUAGCUUCUUUCACUUAAUGGUUUUGAGGUUCAUCCAUGUUGUUGCAUGUAUAGGAAUGUAUUCCUUUUCGUUGCUGAAUAGUAUUCCAUUGUGGUAAUGUACCAUAUUCAUUCAUCAGUGGAUAGCUAUUUAGACUGUUUCCAGUUUUUGACUAGCAUGAAUAAGGGUGCUAUAAACUUUUGUGUACAUGUCUUUGUGUGGACAUGGAUUUUCAUUUUUCUGAUAGAUUCUUAGAAGUGGAAUUGCUGAGUUGUAUUAUUAGUUUAUGUUUAAGUUUUUAAGAAACUGCCAAACUACAUUCCAAAGUGUCUGUACCAUUUUACAAUCGUACCAGCAAUGCAUAAGUGUUGUUUCCUUAACAACAUUUGAUUGUCUGUCUUUUUCAUUAUAGCCAGCCUAGUGGGUGUCUAGAGGUAUCUUCUUCUGGUUUUAAUUUGCAUUUCCCUAAUGAAUAACGAUUUUUGAGCAUCUUUUCUUUGUACAUUAGACAUUGAUAUUUCACCUUUGGGAAAAUGUCAGUUCAAAUCUUUUGCUCAUUUAAAAAAUUCGGUCAUUUGUCAAGAACGUUCUAUGUGUUGGUCACUGUAAAUGCUCUCUACAUAUUCUAGAUUUAAGUCUUUUAUCAUAUAUACGAUUUGCACACAUCUUAUCCUAGCCCUGUGACUUCUUUUUAUGUUCUUAGUGAUUUUUUUUUUUUUGAGACAGAGUCUCAUUCUCUCACCCAGGCUGGAGUGCAGUGGCACAAUCACAGCUCAUUGCAGCUUGAUAUUCUGGGCUCAGGUAAUUCUCCCACCUCAGUCUCCUGAGUAGCGGGGACUACAAAUGUGCACCACCACGCCCAGCUAUUUGGUGUUUUUGGUAGAGGGGGGUCUCACCAUGCUGCCCAGGCUGGUCUUGAACUGCUGUGCUGAAAGGAUCCACUUGCCUCGGCCUCCCGAGGUGCUGGGAUUACAGGCACGAGCCACUGUGCCCGGCUCAUUGGUGUCUUUGAGGCACAGAAGUUUUAAAUUUUUAUCUAGUCUAACUUAUCAAUGUUUUCUUUUACGGUUUGUGCUUUUGGUGUUGAGUUUUGAGAUUUUGAGCAGGUUGUCUAAGCUCUUCAAGCCUCUGUUCCUUUGUCUAUAAAGUUGUAAUAAUAAUUGUUACCUCAAAGGCAACUGCAAUUUAAUCUCAUUUCUUGUAUGUGUUUGGGAAAGAGGGAGGUAUAAGCAGUGACUGCAAGUUUUUUUUUUUUUUUUUUUUUUUUGAGACGGAGUUUCGCUCUUGUUACCCAGGCUGGAGUGCAAUGGCACAAUCUCGGCUCACCGCAACCUCCGCCUUCUGGGUUCAGGCAAUUCUCCUGCCUCAGCCUCCUGAGUAGCUGGGAUUACAGGCAUGUGCCACCAUGCCCAGCUAAUUUUUUGUAUUUUUAGUAGAGACGGGGUUUCACCAUGUUGACCAGGAUGGUCUAGAUCUCUUGACCUCGUGAUCCACCCGCCUCAGCCUCCCACAGUGCUGGGAUUACAGGCGUGAGCCACCGCGCCUGGCCGACUACAAGUUUAACUUUCAACUUGCUCUCAAGUUUCAUAAGUUCUUGGUACUUACGGUUGGCUUGCUGGGAGUAGGGAACUUGGUAUGUGUAAAAGUUACUGAAUGUAUCUGCUAAUAAAUUUUGCCCUCAUCCUGGAUCCAAGAGAUCGAGCUUCACAGAUGGAAGAAGUGAGCAGUCAAGGCAAGGGGAACUGAAGUGCAUAGGGGGUUAAUAAGUGGUUGAAGUUGCCUGGGAAGGGGAGUGUGGAGGAGUAACAGGGUGGGAGCAUGAAGGGACUUGAGGAAACUUCUGGGGUGAUAGAGACAGUAGUAAUAAUGUUGAUGGUGAUGAUGGCUUCAUGGGUACAUACAUAUGUCAAAAUGUAUCAACUUAUACAUGUUAAAUAUUGCUGUCUAUUGUCAGUCAGUUAUCCCAAUAAACCUUUUUAAAAAAUAUAUUUCAUUUUUUUUUUUGAGACAGAGUCUCACUCUGUUGUCAGGCUAUAGUACAGUGGCACUAUCUUGGCUCACUGCAACCUCCGUCCCCCGAGUUCAAGCAAUUCUCCUGCCUCAGUCUUCCAAGUAGCUGGGACUACAGGCGUUCGCCACCAUGCCCAGCUAAUUUUUGUGUUUUUAGUAGUGACGGGGUUUCACCAUGUUGGCCAGGAUGGUCUCCAUCUCUUGACCUCGUGAUCUGCCUGCCUUGGCCUCCCAAAGUGCUGGGGUUACAGGCAUGAGCCAUUGUGACCAGCCUUUUUUUUUUUUUUUUUUUUUAAUUUUAAAGAGGAUGGUCACACCUGUUAGGAUGACCAUUGUUUUUUAAAAAAGCAAGCAUUGGACCAGGCCUAGUGGGUCAUGCCUAUAAUUCCAGCACUUUGGGAGACCAAGAUAGGCAGAUCGCUUGAGCUCAGGAGUUUGAGACCAGCCUAGGAAACAUGGUGAAACCCCAUUUCCACCAAAACUAAAAAAAAUUAGCCGUCAUGGAGGCGUGCACCUGUGAUCCCAGCUGUAGCUGGGAGGCUGAGGUGGGAGGAUUGCUUAAGCCCAGGAGGCAGAGGCUGCAGUGAGCUGAGAUUGCACCAGUGCACUCAAGCCUGGGUGACAGAGUGAGACCUUGUCUCAACUAAAAACAAAAGAAAACGAAACAGAAAAACAAGUAUCGGUUGAGGAUAUGAAAGAUUGAAACCCUCGUACAUUGCUGGUAGGAAUGAGAAACGGUAUUAACACUGUGGAAAACAGGUUGGCAGUUUCUCCAAAAAGUUAAACAUAGAAUUAGCACAUGAUCUCACAAUUUCACUUCUGGAUACAUAUCCAAAAGAACUGAAAGGAAGGACUUGAACAGAUGUUUGUUCAUAGCAGCAUUAUUCACAAUAGUUAAAAAGAUGGAAACAACCCAAGUGUCUGUCAACAGAUGAACAGAUCAGCAAAAUGUGGUUUACACAUACAGUGGAAUAUUAUUCAGCCUUGAAAAUGAAAAAUACUCUGAUACAUAAUGCAACAUGGGUUAACCGUGAACUCAUUAUUUUAGAUGGAAUAAGCCAAACACAAAGGUACAAAUAUUGUAUGAAUCUAUUUACAUGAAUAGGCAACUCAUAGAGAUGACCAGGGACUGAGGGAGGAGGGAGUGGGAAUUUGUUGUUUAAUGGGCAGAGUUUCUGCUCGGGUUGAUGUAAAAGGUCUGGAAAUGGAUGACGGUGAUGGCCGCACAGCAUUUUGAAUGUAUUUGAGGCCACUGAACUGUACAUGUAAAAAUGGCUAAAGUGGUACAUUUUACGUUAUUCUAUUUUCACAACAAAAAAUCCAAAAAGAGAAUGGAUGAAGUAAUAUAUGAGUUUAAGUAGUAAAAACAAUACAAGAAGUAUAAUGGGAAGCUGACAAGUCAGCCCCAGGGGUAAGCCCAGACACAGGGGUUCUCUUUCCUUCCUGGUUUCUCGAUCCUACCACUCACACCUAUCAAUUAUUACAAAUUUAUUCUCCCAUUUCUUCACUCCCUCAUGUUCAGGUGCUUAAAUGGGAGCAUGGAGAAAUGUAAAGUGGAAAAUAAGUGGAAUGCAUCGAGCCUGGAGAGGAGCAGACUUGGGGGAGACCUUGACAGCUGUGAUGAAAUAUUUACAGGGCUGUCAGGUAGAGGAGAGAGGAGGCUUAUUCUGUGUGCUUCAGGUGACAGAAACAGAAUUUCGUGGGAAGCAGACCUUUUUGCCUCCAAAAAAGGAAUAACAUGUUAAUAACUAGAACAGUCUAUGAAUGGAGUAGAUGCCAUGGAAUGCUGGAAGUGGGUAAACAGAGGCUGGGGAUGUCACAGAGGGGAUUGCUGCAUUAGAUGGGAAUUGCCACGCUAACCAGGAAGAAGGAACUUUCAGCUGGGGUUUUGAAGCAUAUCUGAUGAAGGAGGUAUUUACAGAGAUGUGAGCAGGAUUGAGGAAGCUACAAAGGAUCUUGAAGUACCCAGGAGCAACACUGGGAGGCGAGGGAGCAAAGGAGACCAAGGGCGCUGCAGAAGAGGGGUCAGCAAUGGCUGGAAGGGGGAUCCCCCAGCCGGAACUGGUAGUCACAGAGGGAGCAGCUUCUACCAGAAUUGUGGUGCCAAGGCACAGAAGCAGCAGGGUUAGAACUUCCUGGCCCUCCAUUUCCUGUUGUCUCUCACUGGCAAAUCCAGCUCAAAGCCAGAGGCACAGGAGCUCAGCGGAUGCAGUUUGCAGGGAGGGAUGACCUUUGUAAGGCUCUGAACAGGGCAGAGAAGCGUGUCUCUAAGGUUUCUUCCAUCUCAGAGACCUCUGAGUGCCCUCGCUGCCCCAAACUUCAAACUUGAAGACAGCAAAAGACCUGAAGAUGACACUACUCCAUGAAUGACCAGUUCAUCCUGUGAAAGUAAAGAUAGGAUUGGGUGAUGACAAUUUCAGCAGGGAUCAGGGAAAUGCCCUUGAUAAGCCAAGACGGGAGAGAAGCUGUCAGUCAGUCAGCAUGUAUUUAUUGGGACCUACUGUGCGUUAGGCCCUCUUGUAGAGAAGGCAGACCCACUGGUGAGCAAGAUAGAAAUUCCUCUUCUGUUACAUACUAAAAACAGGAGGCAGACAGUAAGCACACAAGCACACGAUUCAAGGUGCCAUCACACGAUCAAUACACUGGUUAAGAAAUGACCCGUGUCAACUCCUAGUUGUGUGACCUUCGUUAAGUGACAGUCUGUGUCUCUGUUCCAUAUCUGUAAAUGAGGAUCAAUGACUGUACCUCCCCAGUAGGGUUGUUAUGAGGCUACAGCUACUUCGUACAUGUAAAUCCUUCAGAACAGUGCCGAGUACACAGACGUGCCGUGUACAUAGAAGUGCCGUGUACACGGAAGUGCCGAGUACACAGUACACAGACGUGCCGUGUACACAGACGUGCCGAGUACACGGAAGUGCCGUGUACACAGACGUGCCGUGUACACGGAAGUGCCGUGUACACAGACGUGCCGUGUACACGGACGUGCCGAGUACACAGAAGUGCCGUGUACACAGACGUGCCGAGUACACAGACGUGUCGAGUACACAGAAGUGCCGAGUACACAGAAGUGCCGUGUACACAGACGUGCCGAGUACACAGACGUGUCGAGUACACAGACGUGUCGAGUACACAGACGUGUCGAGUACACAGACGUGCCGAGUACACGGAAGUGCCGAGUACACGGACGUGCCGAGUACACAGACGUGCCGUGUACACAGAAGUGCCGAGUACACAGACGUGCCGAGUACACGGAAGUGCAGUGUACACAGACGUGCCGUGUACACAGAAGUGCCGAGUACACAGAAGUGCCGAGUACACAGACGUGCCGAGUACACGGACGUGACGAGUACACAGACGUGCCGUGUACACAGAAGUGCCGAGUACACAGACGUGCCGAGUACACGGAAGUGCAGUGUACACAGACGUGCCGUGUACACAGAAGUGCCGAGUACACAGACGUGCCGAGUACACAGAAGUGCCGUGUACACAGACGUGCCGAGUACACAGACGUGCCGAGUACACAGAAGUGCCGAGUA
Callithrix jacchus (white-tufted-ear marmoset) is the source of this 10522-nucleotide non-coding RNA. NCBI's taxonomy places the organism in Eukaryota, Metazoa, Chordata, Mammalia, Primates, Cebidae. The record is from RefSeq and is a predicted model, not a curated record.